UACGUAGGUGGCAAGCGUUGCCCGGAAUUAUUGGGCGUAAAGCGCGCGCAGGCGGUCCUUUAAGUCUGAUGUGAAAGCCCACGGCUCAACCGUGGAGGGUCAUUGGAAACUGGGGAACUUGAGUGCAGGAGAGAAGAGUGGAAUUCCACGUGUAGCGGUGAAAUGCGUAGAGAUGUGGAGGAACACCAGUGGCGAAGGCGACUCUUUGGCCUGUAACUGACGCUGAGGCGCGAAAGCGUGGGGAGCAAACAGG
This 253-nucleotide ribosomal RNA is filed under the name uncultured bacterium. RNAcentral describes it as "partial 16S ribosomal RNA". It matches the Rfam family "Bacterial small subunit ribosomal RNA", at positions 524 to 776 of the family's 1533-position model. The record is from RNAcentral.